This is a long non-coding RNA of Amblyraja radiata (thorny skate), 128 nucleotides long. RefSeq lists it as uncharacterized. The record is from RefSeq and is a predicted model, not a curated record. Lineage: Eukaryota; Metazoa; Chordata; Chondrichthyes; Rajiformes; Rajidae. The transcript is spliced from 4 exons.
GGAGGUUGAUGAGGUCACCUGAUAGGACAAAGGACAUUUAUUGUCACAUGCACCAAAUGGUGUAGUGAAAUUUGUCUUGCCAUGCAGCGUACACAUAAAGAUUAGACAUAACAUUAAAGAAAUUUAAC